RNAcentral lists this ribosomal RNA (342 nucleotides) under Triticum aestivum (bread wheat). RNAcentral describes it as "partial small subunit ribosomal RNA". Lineage: Eukaryota; Viridiplantae; Streptophyta; Magnoliopsida; Poales; Poaceae. The record is from RNAcentral.
AUGCUUGCCGCCGGCAUCAUCCGCAUCUCCGCGUCACCAUUCACAGCGCCGGUCCUCCUCGUUCACAAGUCGGAUGGCACGUGGCAUUUCUGCAUCGACUACCGCGCCCUUAAUGCUCUCACAUUGAAGGACAAGUUUCCUAUUCCGGUGGUCGAUGAGCUUCUCGACGAGCUGCGCGGGGUGCACUUCUUCACCAAGCUGGAUCUCUGGUCCGGGUAUCAUCAGGUGCGCAUGCACCCGGAUGACAUCGCCAAGACGGCAUUUCGGACUCACCAUGGCCACUUUGAGUUCUUGGUGAUGCCCUUUGGCCUCCCAACGCCCCGGCGACCUUUCAGGCCUUGA